RNAcentral lists this ribosomal RNA (441 nucleotides) under uncultured bacterium. RNAcentral's name for it is "partial 16S ribosomal RNA". It matches the Rfam family "Bacterial small subunit ribosomal RNA", at positions 338 to 795 of the family's 1533-position model. The record is from RNAcentral.
CCUACGGGUGGCAGCCGUAGGGAAUUUUGCGCAAUGGGGGAAACCCUGACGCAGCAACGCCGCGUGAUUGAUGAAGCCCUUCGGGGUGUAAAGAUCUGUCAGUGGGGACGAAACUUGACGGUACCCACAGAGGAAGCAUCGGCUAACUCCGGGCCAGCAGCAGCGGUAAUACGGGGGAUGCAAGCGUUGUCCGGAAUCAUUGGGGGUAAAGAGUUCGUAGGUGGCACGGUAAGUCUGGGGUUAAAUGCAGGGGCUCAACCUCUGGUCGGCCCUGGAUACUGGCGAGCUUGAAUGCGGUAGAGGUAAAGGGAAUUCCUGGUGUAGCGGUGAAAUGCGUAGAUAGCAGGAGGAACAUCGGUGGCGUAGGCGCUUUACUGGUCCGGAAUUGACACUGAGGAACGAAAGCCAGGGUAGCAAAUGGGAUUAGAUACCCUUGUAGUC